CGGGCUAUAGCGCAGUCUGGUAGCGCGUUCGACUGGGGGUCGAAAGGUCGUGAGUUCGAAUCUCGCUAGCCCGACCA
This 77-nucleotide transfer RNA is filed under the name Rhodovulum sp. RNAcentral's name for it is "tRNA-Pro". It matches the Rfam family "tRNA". From Rfam's summary of the family: Transfer RNA (tRNA) molecules are approximately 80 nucleotides in length. RNAcentral also lists the same sequence under 10 other names. The record is from RNAcentral. Lineage: Bacteria; Pseudomonadati; Pseudomonadota; Alphaproteobacteria; Rhodobacterales; Paracoccaceae.